UUAAGUUCAGCGGGUAUCCCUACCUGAUCCGAGGUCAAACAGAAAAGAGAAGCUUAAUGGAAGGGGAUAGGCUAGAGCCGCUACGCAAUGUGCUGCGCAUGAAGCCAACCUACCAGCUACCAAUAUAUUUAAGGCGAGUCCAUACACAGAGGCAGAAGACAAACACCCAACACCAAGCAGAGCUUGAAGGUUUAAAUGAC
This 200-nucleotide unclassified non-coding RNA is filed under the name Pleomassariaceae sp. RNAcentral's name for it is "partial internal transcribed spacer 2". The record is from RNAcentral. Lineage: Eukaryota; Fungi; Ascomycota; Dothideomycetes; Pleosporales; Pleomassariaceae.